Molecule: ribosomal RNA, 201 nt
Filed under: uncultured bacterium
Lineage: Bacteria
Description: partial 16S ribosomal RNA
Rfam family: Bacterial small subunit ribosomal RNA
Source: RNAcentral
UACAGAGGGUGCAAGCGUUGUUCGGAAUUAUUGGGCGUAAAGAGCUCGUAGGCGGUUUGCCGCGUCUGCUGUGAAAACUCAGGGCUUAACCCUGAGCUUGCAGUGGGUACGGGCAGACUGGAGUGCGGCAGGGGAGACUGGAAUUCCUGGUGUAGCGGUGAAAUGCGCAGAGUAUCAGGAGGAACACCGGUGGGCGAAGGC